This 406-nucleotide ribosomal RNA is filed under the name uncultured bacterium. RNAcentral's name for it is "partial 16S ribosomal RNA". It matches the Rfam family "Bacterial small subunit ribosomal RNA", at positions 30 to 526 of the family's 1533-position model. The record is from RNAcentral.
AUUGAACGCUGGCGGCAGGCCUAACACAUGCAAGUCGAACGAGUGGCGGACGGGUGAGUAAUGUCUGGGAAACUGCCUGAUGGAGGGGGAUAACUACUGGAAACGGUAUCUAAUACCGCAUACCAUCAGAUGUGCCCAGAUGGGAUUAGCUUGUUGGUGGGGUAACGGCUCACCAAGGCGACGAUCCCUAGCUGGUCGGAGUGGAUGACCAGCUACACUGGAAUUGAGACAGGGUCCAGACUCCUCAGGGAGGCAGAAUUGGGGAAUAUUGCAAAAUGGGCGCAAGCCUGAUGCAGCCAGGCCGAGUGUAUGAAGAAGGCCUUCGGGUUGUAAAGUACUUUCAGCGGGGAGGCGUUACCCGCAGAAGAAGCACCGGCUAACUCCGUGCCAGCAGCCGCGGUAAUUC